Cynoglossus semilaevis (tongue sole) is the source of this 470-nucleotide long non-coding RNA. RefSeq lists it as uncharacterized. The transcript has 4 exons. The record is from RefSeq and is a predicted model, not a curated record. NCBI's taxonomy places the organism in Eukaryota, Metazoa, Chordata, Actinopteri, Pleuronectiformes, Cynoglossidae.
GUAACUGUUGACAGGACACGGACUGGAGCUGCAGGGGUCGGGAACGCUGCAGCCCGGCUCCACGUUGACCUUCCUGGCCUGAGACAGACUCAGAGCUCCACCGACACGGAGACCCUGAAGGAACGCACACCACACGGAAAUUCUGAGACGUCAAAUAACAGUUCACCUGGUAGAGCCCCUGGUCUACGGACAGCACCGCCUUGUGGUUGCCCCCUGCGCCUCCUAAGCUGCUGAUGUCCAACUGCAGGAAUAACAGUGAAAAACAAAAAGGUGAAUCUGGAACUCAAUUGGCCAGAAGGGGGAGCUGUGUAGUCAUUCUAUGGACUUACAGUGUGAGGUUGUGCUGCAGGCUGGAGGAGAUGUGUAACAGCGUGGCGCUGGCCUGACGUGUGCGGAACAUAAGCUCAACAUGCCAGGGGACGGAGGCCUCCGCUGUCGCCAGGUUGUUCCACUGCAACAAGCUGUUGCCC